Uranotaenia lowii is the source of this 1050-nucleotide long non-coding RNA. RefSeq lists it as uncharacterized. Lineage: Eukaryota; Metazoa; Arthropoda; Insecta; Diptera; Culicidae. The record is from RefSeq and is a predicted model, not a curated record. The transcript is spliced from 3 exons.
GGGUUCCGCUGCAGUUGUAAAAAUGCUACCACCUUCCACGAAAUCAUUUAAAUCGACGCGAAUCUCGCGAAAAAGAAGUGCUGCUGCUGGUGCUCAGCCAGCUGUAACUGGCACCACAUCGGGGGAAAAUCGCAAAGGCUCUUCAGCUACCCGAAAAAUCGUAACGUCCUGUACGUUUCCCGGGCAGCGCUUACGUAGUACUGUUGCUGGUGCACGACCAGCAGUUAUAGUCAUUAUUCUGCAAAUUAUUUCUAUCGGCGGAAUCUACGAGGUUCUCAAUAAGGAAAAUUGGUUCCGGCGGCGAUCGUAGAUGGUACUCCCAGCUGGUAUUGUUGCAGAAGCGCAAACGCUUUUCAACUGUUUGCCAUACCAUGGAAACCGGAACCACCAGCACCAAUGAUGUGGAUUGCAAAAGGACCCCUUCCAAAAAGAAUCAAAAUUCUUUUGAAAUGCUUCAAAGCACCACUGAAGCAAAGCUCACGACAGCGGAAGGCAACACAAGCUACGGGAUCGGACUGUUAGAUGAACACAAUCCGCUUCGAUAAAUAACUCAUGAGUUUCCCUUAAAAUGACGUUUUCCAGAAUGGUGAAUCUCCGCCGAAUGUAGCAGUUUCUCGAUGGUUUUUAGCCAAUGCUAAAUUCUCCUUUAAAUGCACCAGUUGCUGGAAAUUCAAGCAUUGAUAUGCAAAGGAAAACAGCAGGGAAGGGAUCAGGGUUUGGAUAUUAAAACGCUGGGCUUACCUCUUCCUUGACCGUGGCGGCAAUCAUGGUUUAAAUAUGAAAACGAAAGGCAACAAAACGUGUUGAUAUAAUUAUUCCGAAAAAUCAUCUUCUAAAAUUAAAACUUAAAAAAAAGCAUCAUUAGAAUUUACAAAAAUGUCCGGAAAAGGUUCAUCAACUGAACUUUGCCUCAGGCGUCUGAUUUCGCAGCUUAUCCUACUGAAAAGCGUCCGUUUAAUGAGUGAGUACUGUUAGAUAAAUGGAUCUUUCAAAAUCAAUCAAAUAAUUUUCGUUGAAUCUGCUACACUUAUUAAUUUAUAUUUAAAUGAU